UGCAGCUAAGUGGUAGAGUACUUGCCUAGCAUGCAUGAGGUCCUGGGUUUGAUCCCAAAUUGAAA
This 65-nucleotide transfer RNA is filed under the name Marmota monax (woodchuck). RNAcentral's name for it is "tRNA.Ala". Lineage: Eukaryota; Metazoa; Chordata; Mammalia; Rodentia; Sciuridae. The record is from RNAcentral.